Molecule: long non-coding RNA, 1994 nt
Organism: Lactuca sativa (garden lettuce)
Lineage: Eukaryota; Viridiplantae; Streptophyta; Magnoliopsida; Asterales; Asteraceae
Source: RefSeq, a predicted model, not a curated record
AAACCUUAACCCUAGAUCGUGUUUUCUCCAGCCGCCGCCAUGAGAGCUCCUAGGCUGCCGCUUCCCAUCGAUUUGAGCUCCACCGUUCGCAUGUUGCCUCGCCGGUGUGAGCCACGACGACCCCCGCUACCGAAGAGCGAGUGUGAAGCCAAGUUCAGCCGCCAUUUCUUUCUCCUUCUUGUGCGUUUUCUGAUCAGAUUGACGCCGCCAACGACCACCUCGCCAUUAGAACGCUAUCCCGACACUGCCGCUGGUCGGAGACAUUGUUAAUAGCUUGAAGAGCCACCGAGAUCGGUGACAUUCGCCGUUUUUGCUACUGAGAGGGUUAUGCGUGACCUGAGGGUUCUCGGUAGGUAUCGUAACCUACCACUUCUUCCUUCCUCUCACCUGAUCGGUGAUGUAACUGCCACCGGUGGCCCUUGGCCUAUGAUCUCGUCAUUUCCCACGAUGUAGCCACCUGAAAGGUAGCUGGAUGUUUAUGGGUUCCAAUUUACAACCUGUUUAUUAUGGUCUUGAAGUUGUGGGUGUGAUAUAUGGCUGGGAUGUUUGGUAUAAACUAGUAUUUUCGUGGGUGUUGUAGAUGUUGUUUGAUGACCGGAAAAUGGAGGAAGAACCCACCAUGGCCGCCAGCCAUGGUGGCUGCCGCUAAGCUCAGCUAUCGGCCGCCAUCGUGUGUGUGUGUGAUUAGUUUCUGAGUGUGUGAUUAGUUUAGUAUGUGCGUGUGUAUAUGGUUAAUUGAGAUUAGCUUUGUAAAAUGUAACUUGAAUUUUGGAUUAAUGAAAAGAAUCAAAACCACCACCAUAAGGUGGUGGCCGCUGCCGUGAGCCGCCAUGGACCACCACUACCCGAGGUGGUAGUGGGUGAUGCCUCGCUAGCAAACCCUAAUGGGCUUAGAGAUUGGUUUUGGGCCUUUUGGGCCAUGUUUGGGUGGAAAACCCUAAUUGUGAGUUUUGGGCCUUUGACUAAUUAGGCCACUUAUGGGCCAUUAGGAUUGGAUUGUGAAUUAAGCCCAAACUAUUCCAUGCCAUUUAUCUAGUGGAUUAAAGGACUUAAUGGAUUAAGUCCUUAAUGGGCUAAUUGAGAAAAUACUAAUAUUUGAGAGAUUAUCAGCACACGCGGGAAUUAUUUAAUAAGUGAAUAUUAAAUAAUAAUCAUUGGCAUAAAUUAAUCUAAGCAAUAAUGGACUUAAUGGAUUAAGUCCUUAAUGGAUUAAGUCCCUAGUGUGUUAAGUCCUUAGUGGGUUAAGUAAGAAACACUUAAACCUAGUUAUCAUUUGAUGUGAAACCCUAAUUUCACUUGGGCUUUGUGUUGGGCCAUCUGAGAAUAAUCAAAUGGACUAGAGUAAUUAGUUGGGCUUUAGGGUAAGGCCUAUAUGAAGGAUUGGGCCUAAUUUGGAAAAUUGGGCCAUAGAUGGGCCAUAGUUGGGGCCUAGAUGGUUGUAUGAUAUUGGGCCUUAGAAUGAUACAUGUUGGACUGGACUGAUCAAUUGGGCCUUAAGGGAAGUCCAUGUAGAGGUUUGGGCCUAAUUUGGAAAAUUGGGCCAUAUGUUGGACUUUGAUCCCUAGUUGACUUUGGGCCUAUGUAUUGGGACUUGGGCUUGGGUAAGCCAAGCUAGGGGUAAUGUAGUAAUUAUCUAAAGCAUGUAUUUUUAGUUAUGUGUUAGAACCCAAUUAUUAAUUGGGUGUUAUUAGGUGUUGACAGUUCGGGAAUCUGUCAGCCAGCAGCUGGGGUGGAGUCUACGGGACUUCAGCAGUGUGGGAUUGUGUCUACAGGACUUCAGCAGUGUGAGGUACUCAGUUUUCAAAAGAGGAGCUCGAGAAGAUUGCAGUGCACACACCAUUUGUUUAGCCUGGGAUGUUUAUACUCUGAUAUACUUGACAAUUGUUAUGAUAUUUUGAGAUACAUUUCUUAUCAUUUUUAUAUGAGGUUUAUCGACUAUGGUUUUUAUUAUUAAAUUAAAUGAAAUUUCAGACUGUGUUUUUGGGAUGUUUCAA